This 515-nucleotide ribosomal RNA is filed under the name uncultured bacterium. Its description in RNAcentral is "bacterial SSU rRNA". It matches the Rfam family "Bacterial small subunit ribosomal RNA", at positions 96 to 605 of the family's 1533-position model. The record is from RNAcentral.
UGGCGAACGGGUGAAGUAACACGCUGAGUAACCCUGCCCUCUUCUUUGGGAUAACGCCCGGAAACGGGUGCUAAUACUGGAUAUUCACUGGUCUUCGCAUGGGGGUUGGUGGAAAGGGUUUUUUCUGGUGGGGGAUGGGCUCGCGGCCUAUCAGCUUGUUGGUGGGGUGAUGGCCUACCAAGGCUUUGACGGGUAGCCGGCCUGAGAGGGUGACCGGUCACAUUGGGACUGAGAUACGGCCCAGACUCCUACGGGAGGCAGCAGUGGGGAAUAUUGCACAAUGGGCGAAAGCCUGAUGCAGCGACGCCGCGUGAGGGAUGGAGGCCUUCGGGUUGUAAACCUCUUUCGCUCAUGGUCAAGCCGCAACUGUGGGUUGUGGUGAGGGUAGUGGGUAAAGAAGCGCCGGCUAACUACGUGCCAGCAGCCGCGGUAAUACGUAGGGCGCGAGCGUUGUCCGGAAUUAUUGGGCGUAAAGGGCUUGUAGGCGGUUGGUCGCGUCUGCCGUGAAAUCCUCU